RNAcentral lists this ribosomal RNA (254 nucleotides) under uncultured bacterium. Its description in RNAcentral is "partial 16S ribosomal RNA". It matches the Rfam family "Bacterial small subunit ribosomal RNA", at positions 524 to 776 of the family's 1533-position model. The record is from RNAcentral.
GACGUAGGGCGCGAGCGUUGUUCGGAAUUACUGGGCGUAAAGGGCUCGUAGGCGGCCAACUAAGUCAGACGUGAAAUCCCUCGGCUUAACCGGGGAACUGCGUCUGAUACUGGAUGGCUUGAGUUUGGGAGAGGGAUGCGGAAUUCCAGGUGUAGCGGUGAAAUGCGUAGAUAUCUGGAGGAACACCGGUGGCGAAGGCGGCAUCCUGGACCAACACUGACGCUGAGUGAGCGAAAGCCAGGGGAGCAAACGGG